GUUGAACGCUGGCGGCAGGCCUAACACAUGCAAGUCGAGCGGAAGAAGGGAGCUUGCUCCUGGUUUCAGCGGCGGACGGGUGAGUAUAGCCUAUGAGUCUGCCUGGUAGCGGGGGAUAACAUCCGGGAGCGAGCGCUAAUACCGCAUACGGGGUGAGGGAGAAAGAGGGGGUUCUUGGGACCUUACGCUCUCAGAUGAGCUUAGGUGGGAUUACCUAGUUGGUGGGGUAAAGGCCUACCAAGGCGACGAUCCGGAACUGGUGUGAGGGGAUGAAUAGUCACAGUGGGACUGAGACGCGGUCCUGACUCUGAGGGGAGGCAGCAGUGGGGAAUGUUGGACGAUGGGCGAAAGCCUGAUCCAUCCAUGCCGGGUGGGUGAAGAAGGUCUUCGGAGUGUAAAGCACUUUAAGGUGUGAGAAAGGGCAGCAAGUGAAUACCUUGGUGUUUUGACGGUACCAACAGAAUAAGCACCGGCUAACUUCGUG
This 484-nucleotide ribosomal RNA is filed under the name uncultured bacterium. RNAcentral describes it as "partial 16S ribosomal RNA". It matches the Rfam family "Bacterial small subunit ribosomal RNA", at positions 28 to 507 of the family's 1533-position model. The record is from RNAcentral.